UCGACCUUAGCUCAGUUGGUAGAGCGGAGGACUGUAGUUAAAGCAGAGAAUCCCUAGGUCACUGGUUCGAAUCCGGUAGGGCGGA
Molecule: transfer RNA, 85 nt
Organism: Eutrema salsugineum
Lineage: Eukaryota; Viridiplantae; Streptophyta; Magnoliopsida; Brassicales; Brassicaceae
Rfam family: tRNA
About the family: Transfer RNA (tRNA) molecules are approximately 80 nucleotides in length. Their secondary structure includes four short double-helical elements and three loops (D, anti-codon, and T loops).
Source: Rfam